GACGAACCGUCCAACCGUUAUUCGGAAUCACUGGGCUUACAGAGUUCGUAGGCGGUCUGGAAAGUUGGGUGUGAAAUCCCUCGGCCUAACCGAGGAACUGCGCUUGAAACUACCAGACUCGAGGGAGAUAGAGGAAAGCGGAACUGAUGGUGGAGCGGUGAAAUGCGUUGAUAUCAUCAGGAACACCGGUGGCGAAGGCGGCUUUCUGGGUCUUACCUGACGCUGAGGAACGAAAGCCAGGGGAGCGAACGGG
This 253-nucleotide ribosomal RNA is filed under the name uncultured bacterium. RNAcentral's name for it is "partial 16S ribosomal RNA". It matches the Rfam family "Bacterial small subunit ribosomal RNA", at positions 524 to 776 of the family's 1533-position model. The record is from RNAcentral.